CACACACUGAUGCUCAUCAAACAGAUACUUGAAUUCACGAAACAGAAAAAUAAAUCAACACCCAAAACGCAACCGUUUCAUCACGAACUACCCACAACACAUUGCACACAGCAACAGCAGUAGCAAUUUCCCAUUGAUCUCACUCAGCACAAAUCAAAUUCACGCAAUGCAAAAAAAAAAACCCAAAGCUUUGAUCGACGGAAAACCAAAGCAAUGGGCUGAGGAAGGCGGCGGCGGCGGCUUCGACGAUGAAACCCAGAGAAACCCAGAGCUUGGAUCGACGAUGAAACCCACGAAAUCCAGAGAAACCCAGGCUUGUACGAGCACGGAAAGGGCUAGUUUGGGUUUCUUUGUUUCUGAAUUUGAAGGGUUCACGGAAUCGUUGUAUGAGCACGGGAACUCUCAAGAAGCCCAAACUAGCCCAUUCCAUGCUUUCCCAGUCGCUUCGAUUCCUAUUUGGUGAUGCAUUCAUGUACUCGUAAUACUUUGUAUUAUGAAUCUUAAGGCGUUACUUUGUGAAAUAUACAAUAACGUGAACGAUUUAUAUAACCACAUGAAUUCAAGUAGCCAGGUCCUACUCCUAGCUAUUGAAUUAAUACUGAGCUCUUGAAUUUCUUUUCUCCUUUCUCCUAUCUGCUCCGAUUGUGGGGUCUCAAAAGUUUGUGGGUUUAGAGGGUCUUUUAUUGUGCUUUUAGUUUGUGGGGUGGACGGACAACUAUGUUGUUUUUGUGAAUUUUAAGGUUCACAGGUUGAUUCUGUUGUUUGGUUCGUUUUUUGGAUCUGAGUUUUAGUUUUAGCGUGUAUUUUUUUUUUUGGUAAAUGUUGCAUCUUUGCUCUUGUGGUAUGGAAUAGGAGGUGAUGAAGUAAGUGGUAGUUUGACUUAGCUUGAGAAGUUACUUGUACUGCAGUUUGUGUCUUUGGAGUUGUUAGUUUGGUUUUGUGAAGGGGUUUAAGAUUUUUGGGUUUUAUUAAUAUUUUGAGGGGGAUAUGGUGGUGAAUUUGAUUAUCAUGGCGAUGGUGAUUCAGGGGUAGUAGAACAGUGAAGGAUGGCUCUCCGUAUAUCAGAUUGAAUAUUUUCUAAUAGUUUAGGCAUAUAUUUUAUUUCAAAUUAAUCAGAACAGUUAUGUGGGCGAAAGUGUGGGGGUUUCAAUCAAUGUUUGUGUGAUUAUAUGUAAACAGGUAAAAAAGAGUAAAACAAUUGCUAUCUUUGAUUAUUUCCCUGGUCUACAAACACAAUUAUUUUGAUUCACUAUCCUAGUUAAAAUGUUUUAUCAGAUCAUCCUAGUGCUCAGGUGUCAUCUCACCAUUUAUGUAGGUGUACAUUUUCCUUUAUAGAUUAUUUCCUUUUCACAAUUGUCUUUUACAAAUUAAUUUGAGUUUAAAAUUUGGGUAUAAUACUAGGUUAAAAUUGUGAUCAAAUAAUUGGUUGAUUGAUGAAUUCAGUCAUGAGUAAUCAUUCAAUUCUAAUUGUCUUUACUGUGGUGAUUUUAUGAAACUGAAAAUUGUGUUUGAAAGUUCAAUUAUGCUUUAAACAUACAUAGGCUCUUUAUGGAUGCGCGUUUUUGUGAAUGGAUUGUUGUAUUCUUAGAAUACUUUUAGCUUUUAGUACCUGCCUGAUGAAUAUGGAUUAAAAUACUUUUUAUGGUUCUUUUUUCUCUUUUCGGCAGUUUAUUACUGGUGAUUUUGAUGAUCUUGUUAUUUUCAGUGGCACAAAAGUAAACACCAUAGGUUCCUGAUUUUCAGAAUUCCGAACUUUUGAGCAAUCACUUGGAUUACACAUAGAUGUUGACCUAAGUAUAUGUAUGUAGCCAAAACUCAACCUUUGACUGGAUUAGAUUAAUCUUGUUGUUGCUCUUUCAAUUACCACUUAAACAGUAUUUCUUUUCUAUUCAUCAUUUUUUAUUUUUCUUUAACUUUAAUAAGUGCAUAACAAAUAUUCCCUACUAAAUUCUUGAGUAGAAAGCGUUGUUUCCAAUCUCUCCUUUCUUUGCCAUGUAGAAUGAGAAACUCAAUUAUUGUCCUAAAAUGUCCAUAUAUAAAUUUCCUGGUGGCUUUCCUCAUAACUAUGUACUUAACCCAAUAAUCAUGUCCACAAAUCCCUAUGGCCUCAUAGCCUGGUAAUUUAGGAUGAUUAUUGUGGAUCAAUUCCUUUGUAACUAUUUUCACCUGAGCUCAGAAAUAUUGCCUUUAGGAUUUAUUUUGACCUUCUGCAUAAAUUUUUCUUAUUCAUCUUUUCUUAAACUUCCCCUGAAGUAUGAGCCUGAAAAAGCAUAAUUACAGGAAGUGUAGGAAUUACAAUUGCUGAAAAUACUGUUCCAUGGUUUAUAAGUUGCUUGGAUUGCAAUUUGGGCAUGCAUGUAAUUGUUUGAAUUAUGAAUCUUAAGGGUUUUUUAUUUUUAUUUUUUGGUGAAAUAUAUAAUAACAUAACAUGAUAUAAUAUUAGGAUGCAUAUUUCUCAUGUUGAAUUUCACAAGUUUCUUAAUCAUCUUCUUUCCCUAUUUGAUAACUUUAUUGGCUUAUAGAUCCAUCAUACAAACAAAUGAAGUCAAGUAGCCAGGCCCUAAGUACAGAAGUUCAAUUUGCUACUUUAAAUAAGGGUAAUUAUUUCAAUUUCAUUAACAGUUACUUCAAUAAAAUCAAUACUAAGCACUUCCAAGUCUUUUCUCCUUUCUCCUGCAUUGUGGAAUUUGGUCACUUGCAUCAUCAGAUAUAAAUCUAUCUGCUGCUAUAGUGGGGUCUCAGACAUUAUCACUACAAAAGAAGCACAGCUGAAUCUGGUUUCUACAUCUGGUGGCCAUCAUGAGAACUAGGGAGAGUCCACGGUGGCAGAAGCAAGCCCCAGGACUGAUACCUCAACAGAUGACAAGAAUCAAAGGCAUGAAAGGGGUCAAUUGGCUGCUGUUGUGGCUUCUGAUUCCAGUGAUAAAUCAAAAGAGAAAUCAGGGGAUCAAAAGCCAGCUUGCUCAAAAUUGUGAAGCAGCCAGAAAAAGCCAAUAGGAAAAAAAAAAUUUAGGCAUAUGUGAAACAACUUGAGAGUAGCCGCCUAAAGCUAACUCAACUAGAGCAAGAGCUCCAGCAAGCCCGCCAGCAGGUUUAACAAUGUUAUACUCAAUUAUGUGCCGUACUCCUUUUUCCAUUUCAAUCUUCUUGUGAAUCAAUAGGAGCCUUUAACUGAGCAACAAUUGGUAGGCAUUUACAGCUUGCAGCAGUCAUUCCAACAGGCUGAAGAUGCUCUGUCACAAGGCAUGGAGGCAUUGCAACAACCCCUGGCUGAGACAUUGGCCAAGGGCUCACCUGGCUCAUCAGGAUCUUCUGGGAAUGUGGCAAACUAUAUAGGUCAAAUGGCCAUGGCCAUAGGAAAGCUUGGAACGCAUGAGGGAUUCCUUCACCAAGUAAUUUCCUAUUCUGGUUUGAUCCCACUUAUUUGUUUUCCUAGUAUGGUUCAAGCACUCAUUACUAGGAAGGAAUGAUGUUGAGAUCGAACUCAAUUUUGAAACAGGCUAGAUUUGAAGUGCUAGGAUAAUCCUUACACAUGGUAGAAUAUUUCUUCUUGGCAUUGCUUUAAAAUGCUUUAGCUACUUUGAUAUUGUCAGUAACAUGGUAGUAAAUCUGUAAGUCUAAUUGUUUUGAGGAAUGUGAGCCUCGCACAAUUAUAAAAUUUUAAUUUAUGUUCUUUGUCCAUAAUUAGCCAGUUUGUGUUCCCAUGGCAUUAGGAUUAUUGUUUCCAGAUCGUACUUUUUUGAAUGUUUUCAGAUAUUUGGAACAUGAGGACUAAACCAAAUCCUACAUGUAAAUGUUGUGUUUGUAUAUUUUCUUUAA
Long non-coding RNA from Quercus lobata, 3819 nucleotides. RefSeq lists it as uncharacterized. The transcript has 4 exons. The record is from RefSeq and is a predicted model, not a curated record. NCBI's taxonomy places the organism in Eukaryota, Viridiplantae, Streptophyta, Magnoliopsida, Fagales, Fagaceae.